UAAGUAAAAGCCAAAGUUUGAGGCGCUUGUUUGUUAAUCAAGACAUUGUGAUAGUAAAUCACUUGCUUAG
Molecule: transfer RNA, 70 nt
Filed under: Cellana nigrlineata
Lineage: Eukaryota; Metazoa; Mollusca; Gastropoda; Nacellidae
Description: tRNA-Asn
Source: RNAcentral